This 433-nucleotide ribosomal RNA is filed under the name uncultured bacterium. RNAcentral describes it as "partial 16S ribosomal RNA". It matches the Rfam family "Bacterial small subunit ribosomal RNA", at positions 29 to 507 of the family's 1533-position model. The record is from RNAcentral.
AACGAACGCUGGCGGCAUGCCUAACACAUGCAAGUCGAACGAGACCUUCGGGUCUUUUGGCGCACGGGUGCGUAACGCGUGGGAACCUUCCCUUAGGGUCGGAAUAACUCCCCGAAAGGGGUGCUAAUACCGGAUAAUGUCUUCGGACCAAAGAUUUAUCGCCUUUGGAUGUGCCCGCGUUGGAUUAGCUUGUUGGUAGGGUAAAAGCCUACCAAGGCGACGAUCCAUAGCUGGGCAGAGAGGAUGGUCAGCCACACUGGGACUGGGACGCGGCCCAGAAUCUUACGGGAGGCGGCAGUGGGGAAUAUUGCAAAAUGGGCGAAAGCAUGAUGCAGCAAUGACGCGUGAGUGAUGAAGGCCUUAGGGUAGUAAAGCGCUUUUACCCGGGAUGAUAAUGACGGUACCGGGAGAAUAAGCUCCGGCUAACUCCGUG